RNAcentral lists this long non-coding RNA (275 nucleotides) under Gossypium raimondii (Peruvian cotton). Its description in RNAcentral is "long non-coding RNA (GRAI_LNC011292)". Lineage: Eukaryota; Viridiplantae; Streptophyta; Magnoliopsida; Malvales; Malvaceae. The record is from RNAcentral.
GCAGAUUUAAGCCACCAAGCCUUGUCUCCCUGAGCAGCAGCGGAGUGGGUUGAAAAUUUUAGAUCUUAUCUCCCUAAGUAGUGGUGGAGCAGAUCGAAGACGGCAAAUCUUAUCCUUCCAAGAUAGUGGGUAGCAGAUUUAAGUCACCAAGCCUUGUCUCCCUGAACAGCAGCGGAGUGAGUUGAAAAUUGUAGAUCUUAUCUCACUAAGCAGUAGUGAAGCAGAUCGAAGACGGCAAAUCUUAUCCUUCCAAGAUAGUGGGUAGCAGAUUUAAG